Non-coding RNA from Myotis lucifugus (little brown bat), 60 nucleotides. The record is from Rfam. Lineage: Eukaryota; Metazoa; Chordata; Mammalia; Chiroptera; Vespertilionidae.
AUGGCUCAGUGGUAGAGCAUCAACCUGAGCAUUGAAGAGUUUCUGGGUUCGAUUCCCAGU